Long non-coding RNA from Dermacentor andersoni, 837 nucleotides. RefSeq lists it as uncharacterized. NCBI's taxonomy places the organism in Eukaryota, Metazoa, Arthropoda, Arachnida, Ixodida, Ixodidae. The record is from RefSeq and is a predicted model, not a curated record.
AGGUGCGUUCUUGUCGCCAUAGUCGCCGUCGAUUCAAAACUAGGAAGGAAAGAAUCGAAGAGAGUCAAUUUGCGCGCUUUGGUAUCGACGUCGGCACGGUACUGUAGGUGUUGGUAAGAAGUGGCCGCGUGCAGACAGAGGAUAUCGACUCGAGCGGCAAUGAGUGAAAGCGCUUUUGUGACCUGCGGCUGCUUUCAGCGGAAUGGAAUGCGUGACGCUGCUCCGCGCGACGUACGCCUUUCUGAGUGAGACAGUGACCGUGGUGGUGUUGGUCGACUGUCGACGUGUGGGACGUACUGCAUACUGAAGAAGAAGCGACACACCAAGCUCUUUCGUGAUCAAGUGGUGCGUCGAACCGAAACUCACUACUUGUGUUCGUGCCACUCGCGUCUGUGUUUAAGUUCCUCUGUCGCGUCCUUCUGUGUAGGAAGGUGCCGGCAAAAGAACCUGUGAGAAAUUGCUGGAACCCCCCAUCGGGCAGAAUGCUUCGUCGUUCAAUGUGGAGUGCCUUUGAUGAGUAGGGAACCUGGAACACGGGGAACACGCCUGUUCCUAUCUCACCAUCUUUCUUAAACAUCUGGAUAAUACGAGGUCGAAGUAGCUGAAGAUGACUACAACCCAAUCUGCAAGGGCUUCAGAGACUGCGAAUCCCAAGUGAAAUCAGCUGUUGUUUGUCAAGGACCGGAAGAAUUCGCAACAAUGGGGACCCGCAGUGAUUUACCAGUUUGGUCAAGAGCUUUCAGCAGCACAGAGUGGCCCGCAGCGCCCCCUGGGAGUGCCGAUGAAGACAAGGCCCCUUCGUCACCACCUACAACUCAGCGCCAGAAAAAGCUGGAG